GACGAACGCUGGCGGCGUGCUUAACACAUGCAAGUCGAACGGAACGGCCUGCUUUCCCUUGUGGAUUGCGGGUACUCGAGUGGCGAACGGGUGAGUAACACGUGAGUGAUCUGCCCCCAACUUGGGUAUAAGCCUGGGAAACUGGGUCUAAUUCCCGAUAGGACUGCAGGGUGGUGCCUGUGGUGGAAAACGAUUUUCUAGUGGUUGGGGAUGAGCUCGCGGCCUAUCAGCUUGUUGGUGGGGUAAUGGCCUACCAAGGCGGCGACGGGUAGCCGGCCUGAGAGGGUGGACGGCCACAUUGGGACUGAGAUACGGCCCAGACUCCUACGGGAGGCAGCAGUGGGGAAUAUUGCACAAUGGGCGGAAGCCUGAUGCAGCGACGCCGCGUGGGGGAUGACGGCCUUCGGGUUGUAAACUCCUUUCGACCGCGAGGAAGCCACCUGGUUGGAAGGGUGGUGACGGUAGUGGUAGAAGAAGCACCGGCUAACUACGUG
This 494-nucleotide ribosomal RNA is filed under the name uncultured bacterium. Its description in RNAcentral is "partial 16S ribosomal RNA". It matches the Rfam family "Bacterial small subunit ribosomal RNA", at positions 28 to 507 of the family's 1533-position model. The record is from RNAcentral.